Molecule: RNA transcript, 1995 nt
Organism: Sorghum bicolor (sorghum)
Lineage: Eukaryota; Viridiplantae; Streptophyta; Magnoliopsida; Poales; Poaceae
Gene name: cyclin-dependent kinase C-2
Exons: 12
Source: RefSeq, a predicted model, not a curated record
CAGCCCUCAAGCCCUCGACUAACGACGUUGCCGACGCCUGGUCCCCGCCACUAUCCAGCCUCGCCCCCGCCGCAGCCCACCCCACACCCGCCGCGGCCCACGCGAACCGGACCCGCCCAGCCGCCGCGCACCACACACCCAGUCGAGAGCCCAACCCGACCUGACCCGAUUCGAAAGGAGGGUUGUCGCCUCGCGUCGCGUCGUCUCCCUCUGGUUCCGGCGGCUAUGGCGGUGGCGGCCCCUGGCCAGCUCAACCUCGACGAGGCCCCGUCAUGGGGCUCCCGAAGCGUCGACUGCUUCGAGAAGCUGGAGCAGAUCGGCGAGGGCACCUACGGGCAAGUGUACAUGGCGAAGGAGACGGGCACCAACGAGAUCGUCGCGCUCAAGAAGAUCCGCAUGGACAACGAGCGCGAAGGGUUCCCGAUCACCGCCAUACGCGAGAUCAAGAUCCUGAAGAAGCUUCACCACCAGAACGUUAUCAAGCUCAAGGAGAUCGUCACCUCCCCAGGUCCAGAGCGGGAUGAGCAAGGGAAGCCAAUUGACGGCAACAAGUACAAGGGGAGCAUUUACAUGGUUUUCGAGUAUAUGGACCAUGACCUCACCGGGCUUGCUGAUCGGCCAGGAAUGCGGUUCACUGUGCCACAGAUUAAGUGUUACAUGAGGCAGCUGCUUACAGGCCUGCACUAUUGUCAUGUCAACCAAGUUCUGCAUCGAGAUAUCAAAGGAUCUAACCUCUUGAUAGACAAUGAGGGUAACUUGAAGCUUGCUGAUUUCGGCCUUGCAAGAUCAUUCUCGAGUGAUCACAAUGGAAACCUUACUAACCGUGUGAUCACUUUGUGGUAUAGACCUCCAGAGUUGCUACUUGGAAGCACAAAGUACGGUCCAGCCGUUGACAUGUGGUCAGUGGGCUGUAUUUUUGCAGAACUUCUCAAUGGGAAGCCAAUAUUGCCUGGAAAGAAUGAGCCAGAGCAGCUAACUAAGAUCUUCGAGCUUUGUGGUACCCCUGAUGACCAAAUCUGGCCUGGUGUCACAAAAAUGCCAUGGUACAACAACUUCAAGCCUCCCCGGCAAUUAAAGAGACGAGUUAAAGAAUUCUUUAAACAUUUUGAUCGGCAUGCGCUGGAACUGUUAGAGAAGAUGUUGACUUUAGAUCCAUUGCAGAGGAUAUCAGCAAAAGAUGCACUUGAUGCGGAAUAUUUCUGGACUGAUCCUUUACCAUGCGAUCCAAAAAGCUUGCCCAAGUAUGAGGCAUCACAUGAAUUCCAGACUAAGAAAAAGCGUCAGCAACAGAGGCAAGCAGAGGAAGCUGCAAAGCGUCAAAAACUUAAUCAUCCUCCACCACAUUCUCGUUUGCCUCCAAUCCAGCAGCCUGGCCAAGCACAUCCUCAAAUCAGACCUGGCAUGCACAAUGUGCCUCCUGUGGCAGCUGGCCCAGGCCAUCACUAUGCAAAGCCCCGAGGACCAGGAGGCCCUAGCCGGUAUCCUCAGGGUGGGAAUCAAGGGGGAGGCUACAAUCCAAACCGUGGAGGGCAGGGUGGUGGCUAUGGCAGUGGCCCGUAUCCCCAGCAAGGGCGAGGACCUCCUUACCCUGGUGGUGGAAUGGGUGGAGCAGCUGGUCCGCGGGGCAGUGGUGCCAGUGGCUAUGGAGCUAGCGGGCCAAACUACCAACAGGGUGGCCCAUACGGUGCGUCCGGUCCAGGUCGAGGACCAAACUACGCUCAAGGUGGCUCCCGCAAUCAGCAACAGUAUGGGAACUGGCAAUAAUAUGGCAGGCAGUAUCAUGCCAUUGAGAUGUAUGUAUCUGCAGAACCUCUGCAGUUUAAGCAUGUUGUAAGGUGUAUGUCAUGAUUAGUACUGUAAUACAGUCCAGAUAUAUCUCAAAAGUGCUGUAUAUGACUCCAGAUGUAAGAUUAUGAUCGAGAUAUUUUUAGUACUUGAAACCAUUGAUUCACUUACUGGAAGGAUGGCAUAGAGAUAUAGCAGAGUUUGCUAGUA